UACGGGGGGGGCAAGCGUUGUUCGGAAUUACUGGGCGUAAAGGGCUCGUAGGUGGCCAACUAAGUCAGACGUGAAAUCCCUCAGCUUAACUGGGGAACUGCGUCUGAUACUGGAUGGCUUGAAUCCGGGAGAGGGAUGCAGAAUUCCAGGUGUAGCGGUGAAAUGCGUAGAUAUCUGGAGGAAUACCGGUGGCGAAGGCGGCAUCCUGGACCGGCAUUGACGCUGAGGAGCGAAAGCCAGGGGAGCAAACGGG
RNAcentral lists this ribosomal RNA (253 nucleotides) under uncultured bacterium. RNAcentral describes it as "partial 16S ribosomal RNA". It matches the Rfam family "Bacterial small subunit ribosomal RNA", at positions 524 to 776 of the family's 1533-position model. The record is from RNAcentral.